UGCCCCAUGGCUUAGUUGGUUACGGCGUCCGACUGUUAGAACAUCAACGACGUUCGAGACAUCGGAAGAUCGAGAGUUCAAGUCUCUCUGGGGCAG
Crassisporium funariophilum is the source of this 96-nucleotide non-coding RNA. The record is from the annotation of a GenBank genome assembly. Lineage: Eukaryota; Fungi; Basidiomycota; Agaricomycetes; Agaricales; Crassisporiaceae.